AUUGAACGCUGGCGGCAGGCCUAACACAUGCAAGUCGAACGAGUGGCGGACGGGUGAGUAAUGUCUGGGAAACUGCCCGAUGGAGGGGGAUAACUACUGGAAACGGUAGCUAAUACCGCAUACCAUCGGAUGUGCCCAGAUGGGAAUAGCUAGUAGGUGGGGUAACGGCUCACCUAGGCGACGAUCCCUAGCUGCUCUGAUAGGAUGACCAGCCAAACUGGAACUGAGACACGGUCCAGACCCCUGCGGGAGGCAUCAGUGGGGAAUAUUGCACAAUGGGAGCAAGCCUGAUGCAGCCAUGCCGCGUGUAUGAAGAAGGCCUUCGGGUUGUAAAGUACUUUAAGCGAGGAGGCGUUACUCGCAGAAGAAGCACCGGCUAACUCCGUGCCAGCCGCCGCGGUAAUAC
RNAcentral lists this ribosomal RNA (406 nucleotides) under uncultured bacterium. Its description in RNAcentral is "partial 16S ribosomal RNA". It matches the Rfam family "Bacterial small subunit ribosomal RNA", at positions 30 to 526 of the family's 1533-position model. The record is from RNAcentral.